GUUAGGCUAACCACUUCUGGUGCAGUCCACUCCCAUGGUGUGACGGGCGGUGUGUACAAGGCCCGGGAACGUAUUCACCGUGCCAUUCUGAUGCACGAUUACUAGCGAUUCCGACUUCACGGAGUCGAGUUGCAGACUCCGAUCCGGACUGAGACCGGCUUUAUGAGAUUAGCUCCCCCUCGCGGGAUKGCAGCCCAUUGUACCGGCCAUUGUAGCACGUGUGUAGCCCUACUCGUAAGGGCCAUGAUGACCUGACGUCGUCCCCACCUUCCUCCGGUUUGUCACCGGCAGUCUCCCUAGAGUUCCCGACCGAAUCGCUGGCAAAUAGGGACAAGGGUUGCGCUCGUUACGGGACUUAACCCAACAUUUCACAACACGAGCUGACGACGGCCAUGCAGCACCUGUCUGAGCGUUCCCGAAGGCACCCAUCCAUCUCUGGAWGGUUCGCUCGAUGUCAAGAGUAGGUAAGGUUCUUCGCGUUGCAUCGAAUUAAACCACAUGCUCCACCGCUUGUGCGGGCCCCCGUCAAUUCAUUUGAGUUUUAACCUUGCGGCCGUACUCCCCAGGCGGUCGACUUAUCGCGUUAACUGCGCCACAAAGGUCUCGAGGACCCCAACGGCUAGUCGACAUCGUUUACGGCGUGGACUACCAGGGUAUCUAAUCCUGUUUGCUACCCACGCUUUCGCACCUCAGCGUCAGUGUCAGUCCAGAAGGCCGCCUUCGCCACUGGUAUUCCUCCCGAUCUCUACGCAUUUCACCGCUACACCGGGAAUUCUACCUUCCUCUCCUGCACUCUAGCCUGACAGUUCCGGAUGCCGUUCCCAGGUUGAGCCCGGGGCUUUCACAACCGGCUUAUCAAGCCGCCUACGCGCGCUUUACGCCCAGUAAUUCCGAUUAACGCUUG
Molecule: ribosomal RNA, 904 nt
Filed under: Halomonas halophila
Lineage: Bacteria; Pseudomonadati; Pseudomonadota; Gammaproteobacteria; Oceanospirillales; Halomonadaceae
Description: partial 16S ribosomal RNA
Source: RNAcentral